GAUGAACGCUGGCGGCGUGCCUAAUACAUGCAAGUCGAGCGAACAGACGAGGAGCUUACUCCUCUGACGUUAGCGGCGGACGGGUGAGUAACACGUGGAUAACCUACCUAUAAGACUGGGAUAACUUCGGGAAACCGGAGCUAAUACCGGAUAACAUGUUGAACCGCAUGGUUCAACAGUGAAAGACGGUCUUGCUGUCACUUAUAGAUGGAUCCGCGUCGCAUUAGCUAGUUGGUAAGGUAACGGCUUACCAAGGCAACGAUGCGUAGCCGACCUGAGAGGGUGAUCGGCCACACUGGAACUGAGACACGGUCCAGACUCCUACGGGAGGCAGCAGUAGGGAAUCUUCCGCAAUGGGCGAAAGCCUGACGGAGCAACGCCGCGAGUGAAGAAGGUCUUCGGAUCGUAAAACUCUGUUAUUAGGGAAGAACAAAUGUGUAAGUAACUAUGCACGUCUUGACGGUACCUAAUCAGAAAGCCACGGCUAACUACGUG
Molecule: ribosomal RNA, 495 nt
Filed under: uncultured bacterium
Lineage: Bacteria
Description: partial 16S ribosomal RNA
Rfam family: Bacterial small subunit ribosomal RNA
Source: RNAcentral